RNAcentral lists this non-coding RNA (21 nucleotides) under Caenorhabditis elegans. The record is from RNAcentral. Lineage: Eukaryota; Metazoa; Nematoda; Chromadorea; Rhabditida; Rhabditidae.
UAGAGUAAUGUUUUUUUUGAG